CCCCGACACGAACGGCGUCCCCUUCCCCGUGUUCAGCAGGCACACCGAGAACGACUCCCCCAGCGCCACCGCCAAAGCCUCCGUCCGGAUCGUCGCCGCAGGAUCCGUCACGUUGAUCGUCUUCCACAGAUUCACCCCCAGCUCCAUGGCGCUGGUGGCGUACGCCGCCGAGACGUUCGCGUUUAUGCCGGUGUCAAUAUAGGGGCUGUCGGAGACGUAGUUGAGGUUGGUGAUCGGGUCGUCGUAACUAGAUCCAUCUUCGAUCCCGCAGUCGAUGCUUAUAAACCCUAAAAAAGUGAACACGAGCGACGGCAAUGGCGGCGAAGCUGAGGAGGAGUGAGCACCAUUCCGCAGUCAUUUUUGACGGCAGCGUCGCCACGGACGUGGUCGCCCUCUUCUUCUCCUUCAAGAAUUCUGUGGUGAGUCUUGGACUCCUUUGGGGAAGUGUAAGAGGAGCUUGUUGAGGCCAUGCAUGAGACUGAGCUCUCAUGAGAGCUUGCAGUCUGCGGAGGGCGACGGCUGCUUGCUUCCUCACGAGGUAGCCUCGAACGAGCGCCUGCAACUUCACCAGGGCUUUGAGUGCCCGGAGAGCUUUCUUUGCCUGCGUCACAUCAUUAGCCAUUAAUUUAAGCAGAGGAAAUUGGAUGGAGGCUACAGUGUCGUUGUUUAGUUUGGUCUCACCAAGUGGCGCCUGAAGGCGGUCUGGAUCUUGACGGCGGCCCACCACGCGUAGCUCCCCUGCAGCACCGCCCUCGUCUCCUUCCCCAGGCUCUGCAGCCGCCACAUUGCCGCCUGCGCAGCAGACACAGCCGCAUUGGCCGCGGCCGCAGUGGCGACGGCCACCGCGAUUGCGUGCUUCCCGUCUUCCUCGUUCUCGUCGUAGAAGGACCUCAGCCACGCCACGUCCGUCGCCGACAGGGGACUCUGGUGCCCCAUGCUCUCGUCUUGGCGCAGCUUGGAGUUGGCGAUGCCGAAGCUCCACCUAUUCCUCUCCUUGGCUUCGUAGCCGCUGAUGCUGGCAUUGUCUUUUCCUGCCGCCUUCGCUUCCUUCUUCCCCCAAAGAACACUCCUCAGCCACCUCGUCGCUCGGCCCAUGGCGCCGGAGCUCCAGCUUAAUUAUCAAAAGCUACAAAACAAACCACAACACCUGAUCUGAAGGCCUACUACAAUUAUAAGAGAGGGUCAGAAAAAAAUCAAGAAAAUAAUGGAAGAAAGAGGUAAAUAUUUGAUUGCUCCACUUCGACAGCAGAAAGAGGCACUCCUCUUACAGUGAUCGUCUCGUGUCUCCCAAUAUUCGCCACCAACUCAGAUUUAUCGUCACAAACGACAGAGCGGGGAGGUUUUUUGCCGCAGUGAAAGGAGGAAAAAUACAAGCAAAAUUAAUUCCCUCGUCUGCCUCUGCCACCUGUAGGUUGCUCCUUCCUCGCGGCGGAAGCCUUCAUCUUUGACUCGACGCUCUACAGAGCACAGCGCCCGAACAGUGCAAGUGUGAAGAAAUCCCUCAAAGAACGAAAAAGUUCGGAUCUUUCCGCAGGCAAUGCCAGAGAUAAGCGACAGGUAGUAAUGAAACCGAGCUCAAUGCUUACAGCAAUGUCGGAUGUGGCAGAGUGCAGUCCGAGUGCGACCACCCCUCCUCAGCUCCUCUUCCUCGCUGCUCGAUUCUUUGGCACACCGGGGAGGAGGCGGAGGAGGAGAGCCGAGAGCGAGACGGAAGAGGAAAGACGGCGGCUUUGAUCUCCAGGCACGGCAUAUAAAAUGGCUAGGAACGGCGACAUGUGAUGACGACGCCGCGGUGGGGGCCGGCGCGGGCUUCUCUGCCAUUGGCUGAUUCCGGAUCUAAGGCGGCGGCUCGAAUCUUGGAGAUGUGGUUUUAGAUUGUGGUAAUAAUUGGAUAAAUCGGAGUGGAUUAACCUAAUAAUGGAACCGUUUAUUCGAUCGAGGCAGCGGAGGAAGCGCGGUGGGUGGAAGGGAGGGCUUUCCGAGGCGGGCAUGACGUCAUCUGGCGUGGGCUGCCGUGGCCUUAAAUUGCGUGCGCGAGCAUCUCGCGCUACCUAAUUAUCUCGUCGCACGCCAAACGCCGAGGGCAUUUAGUGGCGCAUGCAGCGAUGGCAGCUUGAAAUUAGGCCCGGGCACGUGCGAGCUGAUGAUCUGUUUGGAAUGCACACUCCUCACUGAAGCUCACUUCCAACCUACCCUGAUCCACAUCUGACUGAGCUGAGUUCAUCAUCAACCUCCUCUCCCUUUCAAAUAACCACUGAUGCAUGCCACUGAGUGCAGCAGCAGCAGCAGCAGCUACAGCUGGUUCAUUGAGGAGUUCAACUAUUAAGCAGAGUUUGAUCUGUUCUCUAUGGUGCAGCUUAUGGUCUCAGUAACUACACAGAAACACAAUGUGUAUGUGGAGACAAUUUGUCUGAACUGAGAGUUAUUGGCCGUAUUAAAAGCCAAACAGGUAGCUGAUGUCCAUACAUGAAUGAUUCACUGAACUGAAAGCGGCAGCUCAAUGCACUGAAUUCAUCGAACAUAUGCAGUGUUGGGUCAUGUUGAAAGGAGAUUUGCCUAGCUCUUUCCUUCCGUGUCCUUAGGCUUCGCGGCUUUCCUUUUCGAUGAUUGUAGCCGUGGUGGCUUCGGUGCAGUGGUUCUUAGGUACCAAGCUGGGCACUGAUUUAGUUGUGGAUGUGGUGAAAACUUCUUCCAUGCACAUUGAUAGUUAAACAAAAGGGUUAAAUUGACUUGGAAAAUAUCCAUGGAAAAUAAUCAAAGGCAUCAACAAAUCAUGACUUUCU
This is a long non-coding RNA of Zingiber officinale, 2783 nucleotides long. RefSeq lists it as uncharacterized. The transcript has 7 exons. NCBI's taxonomy places the organism in Eukaryota, Viridiplantae, Streptophyta, Magnoliopsida, Zingiberales, Zingiberaceae. The record is from RefSeq and is a predicted model, not a curated record.